Molecule: ribosomal RNA, 407 nt
Filed under: uncultured bacterium
Lineage: Bacteria
Description: partial 16S ribosomal RNA
Rfam family: Bacterial small subunit ribosomal RNA
Source: RNAcentral
AUCGAACGCUGGCGGCAGGCCUAACACAUGCAAGUCGAGCGGAGCGGCGGACGGGUGAGUAAUGCCCAGGAAUCUGCCUGGUAGUGGGGGAUAACGUCCGUAAACGGGCGCUAAUACUGCAUACUUUCAGAUGAGCCUAGGUGGGAUUAGCUAGUUGGUGGGGUAAAGGCCUACCAAGGCGACGAUCCGUAGCUGGUCUGAGAGGAUGAUCAGUCGCACUGGAACUGAGACAGGGUCCAGACUCCUACGGGAGGCAGCAGUGGGGAAUAUGGGACAAUGGGCGAAAGCCUGAUCCAGCCAGGCCGCGUGUGUGAAGAAGGUCUUCGGAUUGAAAAGCACUUUAAGUUGGGAGGCGGUACCUACAGAAUAAGCACCGGCUAACUACGUGCCAGCAGCCGCGGUAAUUC